AAAUAAAGGGUAUGACCUAAAGUUAUACAGUUGUCUAGAUAACAGACUAAAACUGUGGAUGGCUGAUGGGAAUGUGGAUGUACUUCCUGGUGUAAUGGGUGCCAGUUGCAAGUUGCCACACCAGAAGUAAUUACACUCUGUCCUUCUGACACUGAGAAUUGAGACUGGAGACUGAAACAUCAAAGGCAUGACAAGAAAAUUGGAAAAGUGUGUGUGAUUGUAAUGGGAUAGAGUUUGAAAACCUCAGUCCAAAAUUAUGUUUUUGCCAUCUAGCCUGAUAAGCACUUUCUCUAGCAAUACAGCUAAAACUUACAAUUGAAGUACUUCCCAGUUUUAUAAAAGUGUUAAAUAUACUAAAAUUGAUCAAAACUGAUAACUGUAACUUAAUAGCUUUGCAGAAAGAUGCUUCUGACAAAACAGAAACAGAUUUCCAGUUUCUAAUUGCAAGUGAAUGCUCCUAGUUUAUCAAAAGAGUUGUAAGUAAUGUAGCAUCCUGUGGCUGCCGAAGUCUGCCAGCUUUGGUGAGCUGCACAGUUGUUCUUCUGGUGUCUUCAAGCAUUGGAACCAAAGGCCAAUUGCAAACAGCCUUUAUGUUUUCAAGUGAAACUUCAUUUUAUUUGCAGAUACACUUGUAUGGUAGACUGUUUAAACUAUUAUGACUGUAUUUAUAUGCAUUACGGUGACUGCAUCUACUAUUCAUGUUUAAGAAAACAAAAAAAGAAAUUGUUCAACUUGAAGCAAAUAUAAAAGUUUAAAGAUUGGCCCUCCAUAAAAAUGCUGUGGUUAUGCUGCUUGAUUUUAAGUUUGCACUUUUUUUAUUGGCAUUUAAAAAAAACUGUUUAAACUGAAUUUCGUAUUUUAUUUAAUUUAACUGCGUUGAAAGUGACUGCUUUGUACAUCAUGAACUUAACAAUAUACAUGCUGUAAAUGAAAGUUCACUGUCCUGUAUACGAAGGGUAUUUUUUGUUUGUUUUUUUUGGGGGGGGAGGGAAGAAAGGUGGAGCAGGGUGGGGUGGCGGUUGUUUAUUUUGUUUGUUUUUUUUUCCAACUUACAAUUAGGACUGCAAAUGUAUGAGACAAACCUUAGACCAUUGUAUGGCUUUAACCAGAUGCAGUAUGCAGUCAUGUGGGAUCUUGCUUUCUAGUGCUGGCAAAAUAAGGACAUCUUUAAUUACUGGCUUCAAUAAACAUGAAUCCAGACUGCUCUAUGCUGUGAUUUUUUACAAUUUUUAUUUUCAUUUUUAAGAUCAUCCUUCUAGAGCUGUGUCUGUGGGAGCAGAACAUCAGUGAGUUCAGUGAACAGGAGAGUUAAGUCGGCUCAUACUGUUGUGUACAGGGUGGAAAGCUAGCCACUUGGAUGGUGUAAAUAAUGGACUGCUAAUAACAGAACUAAGGGUUUUUUUCCUCUUUGGUAAGUGCAACAAGUUUUUCUUAGUGAGCGUAGAAAGAACAGACCAAUUUAUGUAGAAUUUUUCUGUUUACUUGUUACUUGAGCUGGAUGCCUUUCUGUUCUCCUACGUAGCUGGAAGUUCUACUUCAUUAAUGUUUGUAGUCAUUUCUGUUACAGAAGCCAACUGAGCUUUUGAUUGCUAAAAUACAUAGUUUGUGUAGAAGUGAAGCUUUAUGAAGCCAUGAAGCAAUUAUUUCUGAGGAGUUACCAUAAUGCUUCUUCUUUAAAUGAGUUCAUUAAUAUACAGUAAAGUAUUACUUUUGGUCCAUUUAAAAUGCAAAACAUUCAAGAUGGGAUUUAGAAAAUAAUUUCUGAAUAUAUGAUGAGAAAUAUAUUUGGAGGGGAACUAAAUGAAAGUUUCAUCUUCAGACAUGUUAAAGCUGGAAAUGACUUUAUGAAGAAAGACCGUAAUGGUGGAUAGAAAUGAAGGAACUCCCCUGUAACUCUUGUGUGUACUCCACUGUUGUUUGUCAGUAGGGUUGCUGUGGGUUGUUAGUGAUUUUCUUUUCUCUUUUUUUUUUUUUUUGAGGGCAAAUGCCUCAAUAAAACAAGCAGACAUGAGGUAGCGUGGUUUUUAUUACACGUUAUUAAACAUCUUGCUGGAGGCUCUAAGCUACUUGCUCAAAGUAAAUCUUCCCCUGACUGCUGUUCCAGAAGGUGGCAUUAAACCUUCUGGCUUUUCAGCCAUGGCAGGCUUUUGUUAGUGUAUGAAGUUCUCAGAUAAGAAACUUUGCAUGAAUAAAGUCAGUCAGUUUCUGAGUCUUUGUAGUUCAAAUACACAUGAGGGAAGGGCGGUUAAUGACCAGGAUGUUGCUAACAACCUAAAAGAGCCUCUAGUUGUCCAGAACAGUAUUGUAGAAGUACAUGGAAUAUCUAAAGUUACUGUUCAGUACCGAAAGUAAAACUUGUGUGUUGCUCGAUCUUUUAAUUAAAACAAACAAAUUGUAUAUUCAGAGGAUACAGGCAGUUUAAUUCCAGAAGCACUCUUCAGGUGGAGCUCAGCUUUCCCUUUGAUGUAAAUCGUCUAGCCCUUCUGGUACAACUUUCGUAGUAAUGAAUUAUUUGUUCUCUGAUCCACUCAGAUUUUGCAGAGAAGUUGAUGUAAACCCAAGUAAUUAAGAAAGUCAACAGUCUGAACAAGUGCUUUGGGUCACUGCGUGGCUCUGGUUUCACAGCAGAGAUGUCUGCAGUGAAAUGUUACUGUGCCUUAUAAUUAGCCAUUCCAAGUAGUGGGUGUUGCAGUAGUGUAGGUGAGAACACAAUCUGAUCUAACAUGCUUUCUUCUUUCUAGAAAAGUGGAAUGAAGCAAGUGCUGAUAUGUGCAUGUAUAUCAGUGCUUCUGUAUCGCUUGGAAUUGAAAUACAUUUAAAAGAAAAUAAAUGCUUUUCAAGUGGUAAUGUGCUACAGUGCUUCAAAACCAUGGAUGGCUAUAAAUUGAAGUGUGGGUGGGGCAUCUAAGUCUGCCUUAAGCUGGCUUAAAAAACAAUUAGUUGUAUUGGUGUGUUGCACAUUUCUUGUGCCAAAUACAGCAGUGCACCUAAGAGCAUAGUGCUCACACUGUUUAGAAAUAUUACUCUUGUAAAAGAUUUGAAUUAUCCAUACUGGCUGGCAUGUACAUCAUAUUAAUAAAUACAUACUUGAAAAGUGUCUGUAGGAUAAUGCUGUAGACGUGGAAGCAAUUAAUUUUCUCUACUGCCAUUGUUUGCAUUGUGGAGCUUUCUGUGUGGUAGAUUGAACAUUACUAGUUGUAAAUUUUAUUUGAAGAAAAAGAUCUUUGACUCCUCUCUCCUUGAUAAUUAAUUAUUAACUAUGUUUGACUGAAGCUUUCUGUAGAUGCAGUGUUCCAGAUGGUGGUGGACUGAGGAUCAGUGCCUUUAAGCAAUGCUGCUUCAUACACCAUUUUAAGAUGAACAAAAGCUUAAAUUGCAAUGUUCAACCUGAAGAAAAACAGUUGUUUUGACCAUACACACAAGAGAGCUGAAUUUGGGUGCAGAAGCUGAUGGAAUCAUGCACAAGCUACCUUUUUUCUCUAUGAAUGUAGGUUUAAAGAAGUUGUUAAUGCUUGCUCAUAUGUUCCUUUAUGGUCAUGUAAAAAAUGUCAUCCUUGUAGAAGUGGUUUAGAACAAUUUCAGAAACUAUUCAAAAUAUAGGAUUUUUGCAACAUUAAGGUUCUAGGAAUAGUCUUACACAAACAUAGGAAGAAUUUGUAGUAAAAUAGUGAAGUUUUAUAGGAAAGGAGAUAAGCAAUCCUAAAUCUCUGACACUCAGUUUAUCAGAUUGACAGCAUUCAAAAGAACAAGGACUUCCCUUUGAGAGAGGGAUUGAAGUGGCAGGAUUAGAGUGAAAUAAAUGGCAGGAAAAGAGGGAAUAUGAUUACUGAAAAGAUAAUGGAUUCAGAUGGCUACUGAGGCUCGGACCAGAACAUGUAAUUGUUUGCUGGACUUUGAGCCAGAGUGCAGAGUGCCCUCUAACUUGCGCAGAUUGCUCCAAGUGAUUGGCUGCAAUCUUUGUCUUGCCUUGUGUUGUGCUUGUUUCCACUUGGAAGCCAGGUUUUUGUUCUGACAAUGGCCAUUUGACUGCAGUACAAAGUAAAGGCCUAUCUGAGCCAGGAACAGGGAAGUCAAAUCGUGGUCCAAGAGUGCAUAAGAAUGGUGGGUAGGUGUUAGGGAGGUGUUGGGGAGGAUAAUACAUGGCUAGGCUGAGUCUCAGUAAUUAAUGUCUGUUUUUUGAACACAGGACUUAACACCCAUUUUGGUUGCAGAGAAGAUUUGGAUGUUGCACUCAAGUUUACUUGAAUUUAUUGAUCAUGUUGUAAGUGGUAGGACAGAGGUGGAGAUCAAUGUUAUUUGCGGUGGUUGGUUAAUGAAAUCUGUUUGAUGUGGAUGAUAAAUGACUAUCAAGUUAAAACCUCUCUUUUCCAGAGGAAUCAAGUGUUUAUUUGUGAAAUACUGACUGUAUUUUGGAGAUCGUUGGAAGGCUAAUGAGAUAAAAAUCUUCAUCUGCUCUGAAAGAUGAGGCUACUAUGGGAAGAAGGAAGAACUUCAAUUUUAUUUAAGGAUCAGUCACUGACUCCAGAGAAAAUUACUUAAAACCAAAGCAAAGGCAAAAGGCUUAGGGUGAGCACUUGGUACUUGUGGCCAAACCCAGGACUGGAUUUGUGUAGCUUAGGCGUGGAGGUCAGUAAGAAGUGAUACAGAAUCUCACUGUGACUUGAAUGACAAAACUUGACAGCUACCAGUAUCUUUUGGUAAUAAUUGUUGGCUCCUGUUGUCAGGAGCUAAUUUUGAAAGAAACAAGUGGUGUAUUAAUCAUUGAUAUAUGUAAGAGUAUUAGAUUGCUGAAUUAAUACCAACAUUCAUGUAUGUUAUAAACCUGAGUUAUUUUAUGCGGGUUUAUUUUCCUGGUAAAGCAACACGUGACCCAGAAAAACACUGGAUUGCCAGAAGGCAGCUAUAACUAGCAGCUGUUCAACUGGCUGCGUUAGGAUGUUUUGAUUUAAAAACAAGCAACGCCUUGCAAUGCUGUUGUAAAGGGCUGGGAGAUUGCCAGUGGAAAUGGCAGGAUCUGAAAUAUUUAAAACUUAGCCUGUCAGAAUCUCUCUGGAUCACCUUUUAGCUUAGCAGAAGUACAGCACAGCUAUUAACAGAAUGCUGUCAUACUUAAAAUAUUUUACUUUGACCACAGUUUUCCUCUUGCUUUUGCAUUUGUGCUCUGUCCUAUUCUAGCCCCUUAUUAUAAGCAACUUGAGUCUUUUGGGCCAGUUCAGUUGAGAAGGAUCUCAGAGCUCACUGAGCUAAUACCAGUUGCAUGAAAAUUAGUGGCUCAGUAGAGAAGAUAGAUCCAAGACUUCCUGUGCUUAGGGAAGCGUUGCCAAGGAAGUUUGGCCAGUCAGCAGGCGAGACAGGCCAAGCGCAGAUCUGUCAGUCUGCACACAUGGAACCUGGCAGAGCACUUGCUUUCUUUUGCUCAAGCAGUAGUUAGGGACAUAAAUAGGAGUUAAGCCUACUGCGUGUGAAAGGGGACCCUUGGGGGGGUGCUGGGUCACUGGGCUCAGUGGGAGGGGUGAGUGGGAAGGUGGGAAGAGAAGACUGAAGUCUGCGGGGAAUUGGGAUUUAUUAGUUCCGCUUAUACAGCCUUGUAAGUUUGGGGCAAUGUGCCUGCCUCGAGUUUAUAGCUAGAGAUGGAAGACUUAAAAUUAUUUUUCCUGUUUAAAAAAAAAAAAAAGAAAGCCUAAACCUUCCAUUGCAUGUAGAAGACCAAAUAACUAAAGAAAGAAAUGCUCUGAAGGGAAAGAGCCAAAUUUGCUGAAUGUCAAAUUUUGUUGCAUGUAGGAAUUAAGUGCUGUUGAGUGGAUUAAGUUCUUUGAACUGCUGUCACAUUAGCUGAUGUAAGCAAUAAGUGUAGGUAAAACAAAUUCCAAAGAAUAACUAAAAAAUGAACUUUUAAAACCUUUGCAAUUCUCCACCAGAGGCAGAAGGAGCUGCUUGGUUUGGUUACGUAACAGCAAACAGUAUUAAAACAGUUGAGGUCAGUUGUUUUCGCUGGCCCGUUUCAUCCAUGGAAAGAAAGAAUGCAGUGAGUGUACUUCAUCUUCAUAUUUAUUUAUACAUUUUAUUUAAAGCCUGCUGAGAGACCUUUAAAACUUUGUUUGUAAAACAUGGUUUAUACAAUUUUUCUUCCACCUUUUCAAAAAAUAAAAAUGAUCUUUUUCCCUCCAAAGGGCUGCUGUAUCCUCCACACUCCCAUCUCUUGCCAAAAAACUGUAGAUGCCACAGGGCAGCAUGGCAAUGGCCAUGCAGUCAGAGGGGAACAGCAGUUCCCUGACCUUCUGUUCUGGACUUGUGUGUUUUUAUGGUAUUAUUGGAAGAAGACUACCUUUUUUCCCAGUUGAGAUUUUUUUCCCCUCUGUUUCCUGAAUAAAUGUAGUGCCAUGAAUAAAGUAAACAUUGCUGUCA
Molecule: non-coding RNA, 6405 nt
Organism: Meleagris gallopavo (turkey)
Lineage: Eukaryota; Metazoa; Chordata; Aves; Galliformes; Phasianidae
Source: RefSeq, a predicted model, not a curated record